RNAcentral lists this ribosomal RNA (253 nucleotides) under uncultured bacterium. RNAcentral describes it as "partial 16S ribosomal RNA". It matches the Rfam family "Bacterial small subunit ribosomal RNA", at positions 524 to 776 of the family's 1533-position model. The record is from RNAcentral.
UACGUAGGGGGCAAGCGUUGUCCGGAAUCAUUGGGCGUAAAGAGCGUGUAGGCGGCCCGGUAAGUCCGCUGUGAAAGUCCAGGGCUCAACCCUGGGAUGCCGGUGGAUACUGUCGGGCUCGAGUCCGGAAGAGGAGUGUGGAAUUCCUGGUGUAGCGGUGAAAUGCGCAGAUAUCAGGAGGAACACCGGUGGCGAAGGCGGUUCUCUGGGCCUUACCUGACACUGAGGGGCGAAAGCGUGGGGAGCGAACAGG